GGAUUAAUGAACAGUCUUGGCUUGGCUUGUUUAUUUUUCUUGGGUUUUAGGCAUUCCAUGUUCUUAUGCAUUCUUGACUGCUCCACAAGUUGACAAUCUAGGUGUUCAUGCACAGUCUCCCUAUGACUGGAAAGAUGAGUGUGGCUAGCUUACAGGUAUCUUCAGUGCUGGUUAUUUACGGUGUACAAUCCAUCCUGAAUUAUGGGUUUCUCUGGGACAUCGGCAUGUGCCGCAUGGAUGAUGAUGUUGAUCAUGAUGAUCAUGAUGGUGGUCAGUGGAAGAUGUACACGUUGCAUGGGUAAUAAUGGUCCUUGGAAGUCUACAGAUGUGACAGUGAGUUGGGUAAGUGUGGCAAUGGUGAACAGGUGUGUCACAUUGAAUGGUUUUACACACUCUACUGUGGCAAUGAAAUGGUUGAGCGCAAGGAUGGCAACCGUAAGUGCAACUAUGACUGCAACCAUGACUGCAACCAUUACUACAACCAUGACUGCAACCAUGACCAUGACCGUGACCAUGACCGUGACCAUGAACGUGACCGUGAACAUGACCGUGAACAUGACCGUGACCAUGACCGUGACCAUGACUAUGGCCAUGACCAUGACCAUGACCAUGACCAUGACCAUGAGGGGAACAUACUGAGGAAGUGUGAAUGUGAUGCGGGCUGCAGGCACCAGCAAAAGAUUCAUGACAACAUGUAUGUGUUUGACAGCACAGCUGGUGGCAUGAAUCACAAAUUGGGUGGGGCCACAGAGAUUCAUAGAGAAUCAAAGGUCCAGUGUGUUGGUGUGUAUGUGCAUGUUUGU
This is a non-coding RNA of Pelobates cultripes (western spadefoot toad), 803 nucleotides long. The record is from the annotation of a GenBank genome assembly. Lineage: Eukaryota; Metazoa; Chordata; Amphibia; Anura; Pelobatidae.